Molecule: small RNA, 1791 nt
Filed under: Manduca sexta (tobacco hornworm)
Lineage: Eukaryota; Metazoa; Arthropoda; Insecta; Lepidoptera; Sphingidae
Description: uncharacterized LOC115446523
Source: RNAcentral
CGCUCUCCGCCCGCUCAUUUUCGCGUCCUCGAUCUGUCAAAAAUGUUUCCAUUCUUUGGAUGGUUUGUGUUGUUUGGAUUUAAUACAAACAAAAAUAUUUUACCAUGUUAAACGAUUCUUGACAUCUUUUUCUUUUUUGGUGUUCAUAUUAAAGUGUUUUAUAAUGUUUUAUUGUUUAUAAAUAUCAUGUAAAAUCGUGUCCAACCGUGGUGCGUCAGUGUUGUUUUGUUUGCAAGAGUAGUGUAAGAAGUUCCAGAUGCUGCCUUCCAUGCCUAUUCUGUUCACGAGGGACAGUCAGGAUGCUUUUGGUAACAAGAUUGAACCAAGCACGAGCUUUUGUAUUCCAAAUUCUGUAACAAAACCAGUUAUCAAUGCUCAGCCAGUCGUCCCUAAGGCUGCGCAGGAGGGUUCUAGCACUACAAAGCCACCAGAAAGCAAUAAAACUAAGAAUGUUAAGAAUAAGGAAGAUUCUAGAAUAAAUUAUAAUGCAUUUGAGACAGCAUUAAUUAGAUCCUACUACACAAAAGUACAAUCAAGAUUUUCCUCGAACACAUCAGUGCCUACCAAUAAAUUUGUACAAUUUCAAAAUAUUUUAAAAACAUUUGAUCCAAGUAAAGAGACUCCAGUAGAUUUGUAUAAGAAGAUGGUGUGUCUGUUUGGUGAUGAGCACAAGGAUAUUGUUGAAGAUUUCCUGUUGUUCUUGAAGCCGGGACAAGCAGCUGAGGUUGGCAGGUUUAUGGAUCGUUUCAUGCUGGUCCAAAUGACAGGAUUUAUAGAGUUGUUGCAGAACACGUUCGCCCGUAAGCCGACGGUGCUACGUAAGAUCGUGCGCGCGAUCUCUACGGGCGUGAACAGCGGCAGUUGCGCCGAGAUGAAGGCGCGCGUGCUUCCCCAUUUGCGCUCCAACGCUCGGCUCACGCAAAUGUUCAGAUCGCUGUUCCCUGACGAACGACCGCCGGAUAGUGUGUAUGAAACUGGCACGGACAUCUUAAACGAGAGCUUUCUCACCAAUGACAAGGGUUACGACGUGUGGGAAUUCGAGGAAGAGACAGACAAUAAACGCAAGUUAGACGCUAAGGAAGGCCUUGAUACUAUGUAUCUGAACGGUCGGGUGUUCCUGCAGCAUGGGCGGCUUCUCCGCUCCGCCCGCGUCACCUUUCCCCUACAGCAAGGAACCAUACCGGGUGCACGCCCGCAGACUCGCUCCCGCGCACUCCCACCCCUCGCCUCCGGACUCUGACGACGAACGCACCUCCCCCAAGCGCAGCACUAAAAACCCAUCCAAAAUACCUCCCAAAAAAACGAGAAAGCAACUCAGAUCGCCAACGAAGAACAUUAAGGACGUAAAUGAUAACACGAAGCACAAAGAUUGCCCCGUAAUGAGCCCGAAAACGAAGAAGGCGCAAGUCAAAAAUAAGAAGAAGGAAGAGGUAAAAAGAGAGAGAAAGGAGAAAAAUCAUAAAGAGCCGCCUAAAGUGAAGCAGAAAGACCAAAUUAAAAUCGAUCAACCGUUAGAGCCUAAGAAAGAAGUGAAAAGCAAUUGGACUAGAGAUGAAGAUAAGACAAUGUUACAGGUGCUAAAAGGCGAGGCAGGCUCAGAGCAAGUGUUUUGUAGAAUAAGGGAACUGCUGCCGCAUCGUUCGGCAACUGAAAUCAAAGAGAGGUUCUGUCACGUGAUGACUCUCUUACAGCAAAUGGCCGUGGGAGAGGUCACUUAGUGCUAUCAUUUCAAUUAUGUAAUGAAAAUCAAAGUAUUUAUAAUUUUUAUAAAUAAAAUUAUUUUUGAGUAUA